Oncorhynchus mykiss (rainbow trout) is the source of this 638-nucleotide non-coding RNA. NCBI's taxonomy places the organism in Eukaryota, Metazoa, Chordata, Actinopteri, Salmoniformes, Salmonidae. The record is from RefSeq and is a predicted model, not a curated record.
CAGCCAGGAGGGAAAACCUGAAUGCUUAUGAGGGAGUGGGCGUAUUAGUGAAGGCUGGACUAACGAGGAUUGAAAACACUGUGAAACAAAAAGAAAAGGCUUCUUGCAGUCAGAUUGCAGUUCCGGCCUCCUGAUCAUCCGCUCAAGAAAAAAUUGUUGUCAUGGCUGGCUGAAGGACUGGACCAAGGUGCAGCAUGGCACACUGUCUUUAUACGAUCAGCCAUAGAUACCACCAGACACCCAAAGUCCAUUUCUCAGUUCCUAUGACCUCUUGUAAGCGCCGUUGAUGUCUUGAUAGCAUUUGAUCAACAUGUCCUUGAGAAGUGUAACCCUGCUUGGAAAGAAGGUGCAACACCCAUGUGUCCUGAUUCAACAGGUGAGUCAUGUAUAGCUUCUCCCAUUUCUCUCUAACUCAUUCUCCAUGUCGUUCACUCAAACUCACGUGUGCACAUUUGCAGAGAAGAGGAAGAGAUUAGCCAAUUACAGUCAUUUCUAACAAUGAUUGUUGCAGGAAUGAUAUGACAAACAUCACCUUUGAAAAAGACAAUAUUUGAUUGUCUCUUUAAUGCCUCUUUACACAUACUUAUAUUUUUGCAUUUACUUUUCUUGGGGGAUUCUCUGUCCGGGACAAUGUCCUC